UACGUAGGGUGCGAGCGUUAAUCGGAAUUACUGGGCGUAAAGGGAGCGUAGGCGGGUUUUUAAGUUAGGUGUUUAAUCCCGGGGCCCAACCCCGGACCGGCACUUAAAACUGGGAAUCUUGAAUAGUGGAGAGGUCGGUGGAAUUGGGGGUGUAGCGGUGGAAUGCGUAGAGAUCCCCAAGAACACCAGUUGCGAAGGCGGCCGACUGGACACAUAUUGACGCUGAGGCUCGAAAGCAUGGGGAGCAAACAGG
This 253-nucleotide ribosomal RNA is filed under the name uncultured bacterium. RNAcentral describes it as "partial 16S ribosomal RNA". It matches the Rfam family "Bacterial small subunit ribosomal RNA", at positions 524 to 776 of the family's 1533-position model. The record is from RNAcentral.